CUACGGGCGGCAGCAGUGGGGAAUAUUGCACAAUGGGCGCAAGCCUGAUGCAGCCAUGCCGCGUGUGUGAAGAAGGCCUUCGGGUUGUAAAGCACUUUCAGCGGGGAGGAAGGCGGUGAGGUUAAUAACCUCAUCGAUUGACGUUACCCGCAGAAGAAGCACCGGCUAACUCCGUGCCAGCAGCCGCGGUAAUACGGAGGGUGCAAGCGUUAAUCGGAAUUACUGGGCGUAAAGCGCACGCAGGCGGUCUGUCAAGUCGGAUGUGAAGUCCCCGGGCUCAACCUGGGAACUGCAUUCGAAACUGGCAGGCUAGAGUCUUGUAGAGGGGGGUAGAAUUCCAGGUGUAGCGGUGAAAUGCGUAGAGAUCUGGAGGAAUACCGGUGGCGAAGGCGGCCCCCUGGACAAAGACUGACGCUCAGGUGCGAAAGCGUGGGGAGCAAACAGGAUUAGAUACCCCUGUAGUC
Molecule: ribosomal RNA, 464 nt
Filed under: uncultured Klebsiella sp.
Lineage: Bacteria; Pseudomonadati; Pseudomonadota; Gammaproteobacteria; Enterobacterales; Enterobacteriaceae
Description: bacterial SSU rRNA
Rfam family: Bacterial small subunit ribosomal RNA
Source: RNAcentral